Molecule: transfer RNA, 73 nt
Filed under: Diplodia corticola
Lineage: Eukaryota; Fungi; Ascomycota; Dothideomycetes; Botryosphaeriales; Botryosphaeriaceae
Description: Botryosphaeria corticola tRNA
Rfam family: tRNA
About the family: Transfer RNA (tRNA) molecules are approximately 80 nucleotides in length. Their secondary structure includes four short double-helical elements and three loops (D, anti-codon, and T loops).
Source: Rfam by way of RNAcentral
GCCCGGCUAGCUCAAUCGGUAGAGCGUGAGACUCUUAAUCUCAAGGUUGCGGGUUCAAUCCCCGCGUUGGGCU